Molecule: ribosomal RNA, 500 nt
Filed under: uncultured bacterium
Lineage: Bacteria
Description: partial 16S ribosomal RNA
Rfam family: Bacterial small subunit ribosomal RNA
Source: RNAcentral
GACGAACGCUGGCGGCGUGCCUAAUACAUGCAAGUCGAGCGGACUUGAAGGAGUGCUUGCUCUCCUGAGAGUUAGCGGCGGACGUGUGAGUUACACGUAUGCAACCUGCCCUCAAGACUGGGAUAACUACCGGAAACGGUAGCUCAUACCGGAUAAUUUAUUACAUAGCAUUUUGUGAUAAUGAAAGACGGAGCAUUCUGUCACUUGGGGAUGGGCCUGCGGCGCAUUAGCUAGUUGGUGGGGUAACGGCCCACCAAGGCGACGAUGCGUAGCCGACCUGAGAGGGUGAACGGCCACACUGGGACUGGGACACGGCCCAGACUCCUACGGGAGGCAGCAGUAGGGAAUCUUCCGCAAUGGGCGAAAGCCUGACGGAGCAACGCCGCGUGAGUGAUGAAGGUGUUCGGAUCGUAAAGCUCUGUUGCCAAGGAAGAACGUCUCAUAGAGUAACUGCUAUGAGAGUGACGGUACUUGAGAAGAAAGCCCCGGCUAACUACGUG